This 99-nucleotide non-coding RNA is filed under the name Moorena producens 3L. Lineage: Bacteria; Bacillati; Cyanobacteriota; Cyanophyceae; Coleofasciculales; Coleofasciculaceae. The record is from RNAcentral.
AGGAGCCGGGUGAAGGGAAACUUUCACGCCCGGUUUUGUUGGCGUAGCCUCCCUGACGGGAUGACGAGUCAGUGAGGCGACUCACUGGCUUAGUUUAAU